GAUGAACGCCGGCGGCGUGCCUAAUACAUGCAAGUCGAGCGAACGGACGAGAAGCUUGCUCCUCUGAUGUUAGCGGCGGACGGGUGAGUAAUAUGUGGAUCACCUACCUCUAAGACUGGGAUAAAUUCGGGAAACCGGAGCUAAUACCGGAUAAUAUUUUGAACCGCAUGGUUCAAAAGUGAAAGACGGUCUUUCUGUCACUUAUAGAUGGAUCCGCUCUGCAUUAGCUAGUUGGUAAGGUAACGGCUGACCAAGGCAACGAUGCAUAGCCGACCUGAGAGGGUGAUCGGCCACGCUGGAAGUGAGACACGGUCCAGACUCCUACGGGAGGCAGCAGUAGGGAAUGGUCCGCAAUGGGCGAAAGCCGGACGGAGCAAAGCCACGUGAGUGAUGAAGGUCUUCGGAUCGUAAAAGUCUGGUAUUAGGGAAGAACAUAUGUGUAAGUAACUGCGCACAUCUUGACGGUACCUAAUCAGAAAGCAAAGGCUAACUACGUG
This 497-nucleotide ribosomal RNA is filed under the name uncultured bacterium. RNAcentral describes it as "partial 16S ribosomal RNA". It matches the Rfam family "Bacterial small subunit ribosomal RNA", at positions 28 to 507 of the family's 1533-position model. The record is from RNAcentral.